This 350-nucleotide long non-coding RNA is filed under the name Homo sapiens (human). RNAcentral's name for it is "HSALNT0100511". Lineage: Eukaryota; Metazoa; Chordata; Mammalia; Primates; Hominidae. The record is from RNAcentral.
UGUGGUUCUGUGCUGUUCUCUGGGCUCUGCCACCAAAUACAGCAGCUGAGUGACCUAUCACUGAGAAAGACACAGUUCAUAAGACUAAGAGAGAAAGGUGAGGGUAAAGGGCCUUCUGUCGCUCCUGAGGGGGAAUCAGAGGAGAGAAUGAGGAAAACAGAUGGCUGUGAAUAAACAACCAGAGAAGAGCCUUGAGGUUGCUAGAUUCGGGUCAAGGUGUACGACUUCCCAUGGAAGUGCCUGGAGCCUGCAGACAGGGUCUCUCCACCCCAGCUGCUGGUCCAACCUGCCUCGCAGGGCGUGACAUGGCUGUUGUCCUCACUGCCUUGUACUCUGCCUCACCAGUCCCA